UGGGGAAUAUUGGACAAUGGGCGAAAGCCUGAUCCAGCCAUGCCGCGUGUGUGAAGAAGGUCUUCGGAUUGUAAAGCACUUUAAGUUGGGAGGAAGGGCAUUAACCUAAUACGUUAGUGUUUUGACGUUACCGACAGAAUAAGCACCGGCUAACUCUGUGCCAGAAGCCGCGGUAAUACAGAGGGAGCAAGAGUUAAUCGGAAUUACUGGGCGUAAAGCGCGCGUAGGUGGUUUGUUAAGUUGGAUGUGAAAUCCCCGGGCUCAACCUGGGAACUGCAUUCAAAACUGACUGACUAGAGUAUGGUAGAGGGUGGUGGAAUUUCCUGUGUAGCGGUGAAAUGCGUAGAUAUAGGAAGGAACACCAGUGGCGAAGGCGACCACCUGGACUAAUACUGACACUGAGGUGCGAAAGCGUGGGGAGCAAACA
This 427-nucleotide ribosomal RNA is filed under the name uncultured bacterium. RNAcentral describes it as "partial 16S ribosomal RNA". It matches the Rfam family "Bacterial small subunit ribosomal RNA", at positions 355 to 774 of the family's 1533-position model. The record is from RNAcentral.